GCGAAGAUAGCUCAAUGGUUAGAGCAACUGACUGAUAAUCAGAAUGUCGCAGGUUCGACUCCUGCUCUUAACGCUUCA
Molecule: transfer RNA, 78 nt
Filed under: Gammaproteobacteria bacterium
Lineage: Bacteria; Pseudomonadati; Pseudomonadota; Gammaproteobacteria
Description: tRNA-Ile
Rfam family: tRNA
About the family: Transfer RNA (tRNA) molecules are approximately 80 nucleotides in length. Their secondary structure includes four short double-helical elements and three loops (D, anti-codon, and T loops).
Source: RNAcentral